UUUGUUUUUAAACUUUGGUUUGGGGAGGGAGGGGAAGUUGUUGCUAAUAAAUACCACACGUGCUUGAUGUAAACCACAUCAGGGUCGGAUUCUCUUGUUGCUGCAAGAUGGACAUUUAUACUGCUUAAUGUGCUCCGCCCUUGCCGGAGUGAUCUUGACACACUUCCCAUGGAACCAUUUCUCGCAUAUGUCACAGCAAAUCCAAAACUCAUCAGAUGCAUAAUUCUCUCCACAAGCUCCACAAAGUGUUUCUCCAUGUUCUUCCUCAUCUUCCUCUUCCAAGCCUUCCUCGUCCUCGUCCUUCGAUUGAACAGCUUUUGUAUUUUUUAUUUGAGGUUCGGA
This 342-nucleotide unclassified non-coding RNA is filed under the name Hevea brasiliensis (rubber tree). The record is from RNAcentral. Lineage: Eukaryota; Viridiplantae; Streptophyta; Magnoliopsida; Malpighiales; Euphorbiaceae.